Molecule: transfer RNA, 82 nt
Filed under: Paenibacillus thiaminolyticus
Lineage: Bacteria; Bacillati; Bacillota; Bacilli; Caryophanales; Paenibacillaceae
Description: tRNA-OTHER
Rfam family: tRNA
About the family: Transfer RNA (tRNA) molecules are approximately 80 nucleotides in length. Their secondary structure includes four short double-helical elements and three loops (D, anti-codon, and T loops).
Source: RNAcentral
ACCGGUGUAGCUCAGUGGCAGAGCACAGAGGCGGCCGCAAGAACAUGACUCUGAGGAUCAGGUUCGAAUCCUGACGCCGGUA